GUGCCUUUUCAUUUUAUUCUGCCUUCAAGCAAUCAAAAUUCCUUAUAUGGGUCCCUCACUUUACGGUUUACAGAAGGCUUACAUGUUAUCUCAUGGAAGCCUCACACACUCUGAUCCCCAUUUGAGAGAGGAGGGACCCAAGGCUCCGAGCCACGAUCACAAGCUAGUAAGGAGCAGAGCAUGUCUCUGGGCCGCCGGCGCCCUGGCCAACACCCUUUCUUCAGCUCCUUGUUUUGGGUUCCCGUUCAGACCACGGUCUGACUCACUCUUUCCUGACACAAAACUCAACUGUCCUCUCUCCAGAGUUAGAACAAGUACUCACUGUAGGAGUCAUGCUCAAGUUCCUCCUCUUCCAAGAAAACAGUCUCUCAACAAACAUUGCAGACGCGUUCCUAGGGAAGGCUCCUUGCUAGGCUCUGAGGAACAGCAAAGGAAGUGAAUCUGGCCUAUGGCCUCUGUCGUCUGCCUUCUGCUCGGAAGGGCAGCAGCAGACCCUGCCCCCUCUCAUUCCCUGCCUUCUGAACCCGGGAGAGCAGAGGCUGAGCAGUCGCCUGGCCGUGCUGGGCUCUGCUAUGAAUUUGCUGUAGGCAGGCUCCCCUCACACCUGCCACCGUAUAGAACAGCUAUGAAAGGGCUCCUUCGACCCAUCAAGCCGAGCUACUUCUCGCCGGGGCAGCCCAUCCCCUCGCAGGGAGCUGAACGGUGCCCCCCCAAAUUCAUGUCCACCCAGAACCUCACAAUGUGACCUUAUUUAGAAAUAGUAUCUUCGCAUACAUCAUCAGUUAAGGAUGUCAAGAUGGAAUCAUCCUGGAGUUAGGGUGGGCGCUGAAUUCACUGACUGGUGUCCUUAUAAGAGGAAAGGACACAGAGAGACAACAGAGAAGAAGGCCAUGUAAAGACAGACGCAGAGACUGGAGUGAUGCAGCUACAAGCCAAGGAACACCAAGGAUUGCCAGGAGCCAAGAGAUGUUGGAAGCGGCAAGGAAGGAUUUUUCCUGGAGCCUUCAGAGGGAGCGGGGCCCUGCUGACACCUUGAUUUCAGACUUCCAGCCUCCAGAACACAGCCACCUCCAGCGCUGGCAGAUGGCACCAGGAGUGGGAGCCACAGGAGUCUGGGAGCAUGUUCUCAUCCUGGCUUUGUCACCAAUUUUCUUGAAAAUUCACCACCCCUCUCCUGCUAAAGGAGGGGUGGGCAGGGCAGAUGGUCUGUUACGUCCUUUCCAGUGCUGACAUUCCAAGAUGACGGCUUCUUUCUAUACCAGAGGGAAGCACGUGUGCUUGUCGCCAUGCUCGUUGGUCCUACCUCCAUCCUACGUGCAUCGGCAGCACUGCGCCCCCGUGCUGCAGAGAUGCUGGGAGUGGUGAGGACGACAGGCCCCGGUCAGUGAGGCAAGCACAAGGACAGCAGGAAAGCAGAGCGGAGAAGGAACACCAGUGUGGGCAGCGGCCGGAGGAGGUGAAGCCGAGGAGUCUGAGGACGAGCUGGAUGGCCAGGCAGGAAAGGCAGAGGCAGAGCCAGGCAACAAGGAGGUCUGAGAAGAUGCCGAGUCGGGGUUGCGGGGGGCGGUGGUUGGUGGUGCAGGGGAGGUGGUCAGCUCGGGGCCAGAUGGUGAAGGGAGUUUGCAGUCUCUCCUGGAGGCCGCAGGGAGCUGGGGCUGCACAGGCAGAGGGGGGCGGUGCUCCAAUCUGGCUUUCCUUAGGAAGCGUCAUCUGGACCCACAGUGUAGGGUGUCCUGGGGCCUCCAGAACCACCACCUUGCACUUUCAGCCGGCUCAGAGAAGGCUGCCAGCAGGUUUCCCAUCGUCAGUUGGAGCGAGAAAUGUUGGGGGCUGGUCUCCUCUCUCUGCUGCCCUGGGGUGAUAACCAGCAAUAUCAGGAAUACAGUUUCAAGCCAGAAGCAGGAACGCUCAUGCCGGCAAACCGGUGUCGACUUGGGCAACAGCCUGACGUCAGCGGAAUUGGCCAGGCUGCCGGAGCCUUGGCAGCUGAGCGCCGAGCACAGCAGCCUCAUCAACACAGUAUUGAAAGUACUCCCAAGACUCCGGUGUUUCUUAGCAACUGCCCUAUUUGGGGGAACACUGAGUGCCACAGGGAAGCUGGCUUGGAAACAUGUGCAAGACAAGCAGCACCCCCAAUCAACACGCAGUGUGCCCCCUGCAGCCCAGCUCCUUCAUGCCAGCUGCCAUCUCCCAGGGCAAUGUGACCAGACUGGAAGACCUCCAGGAGGCAAUCAGCUACCCUACAGGUCUCUAGGCAGCUUCCAGAACCAAAAGCUUGCAGAGAGGCCCCGGUUAUCCUUUCGGCCCCCAGGCAAAGCCCAGUUACCAUCUGUUAUUCUUCAAACCAUCUGAGCAGCUGACAGGCCACAAAGGAAAAAAAGAGACACUAACAAAACACGCCAGGCCCUUAACACUCAGACCCAGGGCUGGGCACAGAGGGCAUCUUCGAUACACAAAACACCCCCAAAAGGAGUCCAGGAUACACAGGUCUUCUGUGGAAGUCUGCAACCAACCAAGGUGUUCUAGAAAGUUCCAGGAUACAAAUGCUUGCUGGACUUUUGUUCUUUCUACACUUGGACAGAGGACACCUCAUUUUACCUCCACAAAAUUUAUUUUGGAGAAUUAAAGAAUUCCACCAGGGCCAGGCUUCUUGGCACAGGCAGUCGAUCUCAGAUAUGUAUUAUUAAUACGAACAUUUUCCUGUCGUGAUUGCACACCCAAUUUAAAAUGAAUUAUCCAAUUAAAUUAAGAAGGUGAUGCAUUCAACUUCCAGGAAUAUAUUGCCAAUGACUCUGUCUUGCCUGUCUCCCCUAAACCCCUUCCAAUUAAGUAAAGACUGAUCAGUACAUUGUGAGGAUAAGCUGGGAUGUUGCUGUGGAGACGGGAGGAUUUUUCAUCAUAUCACCAUUUCAAUCUCCUGAUGAGAAGGGAGCUGGCAGAGCGUUCAGCCUCCCCCCAGGAUGAAUGCUCACCGCCAACAACAACAAGGACAAAAGCUCUGCUGGAUGGAAAAGGAUGAGGGAUUGUGUAAGCUUCCACAUCUCCUUCUGCAGCAACCCAGUCUAUGGCUUCGGCUUCCCAUGAGCAGAAGACAGUUGCCCUGUGUAGGCAAGUGGCAGACUCCACCAUCUUCCUCCUCCCCGCCCCCACCCGGGCAGUUCUAGAGAGGGGCAUGCAGGCCCUGAUCUGAGGCAGUGAUAGCGCCAACUCAGCCAGCAGAGAGAAAUCGAUGGGUGGUAACUGGCCAAAAAUAUCACAGCUGUGGUGUCAGACUGUGACACGGUCAACACCAGGAAGAGUAAGAAGAGACAAAGAUUUUAUUUCUCAAAUGCAAAUCUGAUCCUGGCACUCUCUACCUUACACUCCUUCAUGAGCUCUCCGUUGCCCUCACAUUAAAGUUCCAACUCUUAGGCAUGAUACACCCCAUGUUCCAUUCCUCCCUCACUCUUCCAACCUCAUCUCUCCCCCAUUCCCUAAAUAAAUACUCCGUGCUUGAAAAAGUCAAACUCUUUCACAUCUCCCUGCGUUGGCACAUGCUGUUCCCUUUCCUAGCACACCCUUCCCUGUUUUCAGCUUGGUAAACUCCUUCUCACUCCUCUGGACCCAGGUCAGGUGCCCUGAGCUCUGGUGGCCUUCUCUCCACCUUUCCUUCCCUCCCUCUCUUUCCUGGGAGAUACUGGUAGCAUGGCCAAGCUAGCACUUUACACAACAUGCUCUAUUCCAGUUGGUUUGCAUGUCUGUCUCCCCCACCAGCUGCUGUGCCACUCAAGGGGACGGAGUAUGUUUUCAAAGGAAUGGCUGAACGACAGGAGAAAAGGCAGAGGUGAAGAACCGGGCAUGUCCUCUGGAGAUGGAUGUAUACCUGGACCCCACCCAGAACUUACUCAAGACGUGAAUAUAUGCUGUGAAUCCCAGCCAUUCCUCAAGCCCCUCAGACUUGGGCCCAUGCGUGGGCAGAUCCUGAGGCCAGUUACAGGCACGCUCUGGGCACAGACCCCUCGCUUCUCCACCCUAAGAUGAAAGACUUAAAAACCAAGUCUGUCCGACAUUAAAGAGUGAAAAACAGUUGUUAAACUUGCUAAUAAAUAAAAUCCCUGAAAGAGAUCUUUAUUAUUACAUCAGGUUAUAAAGAACCUUCUGGAAGUCUCAGUUUAAAUCUAAGGGAAAAAAAGAAACUCUACCCCAAAAUUCAAACCAUCAGGACUAUAAUGAACAAACCCACCUCCACAGGCUUACAGCGAGACUGAGGAGAACGGGUGACUGUGGACCGCCCAAGCAGGAGCCAGGUCUCUGUCAGCUCCGGUUUGUGCCCUCACGGGCCCAAACACAGGCAUCCUCCCACUGCCUGCACAUUUCCAAGCGGAACAGGGGCUUCAGUCCAAGCCUGGGGAAUAAAACGUGCCGCAUCCUGGACUGGGCAUCUGUCCUUUCUUGGGAUUCUGACUGUGUUUGCCCAGCAGCCUCCUCCAAAGCUGUAAGCGGGGAAGCAGGUCGUUGGCAGUGCUGGGUCGCAAAACCCAGACCCUCCAGCCUUCCCUCAGGUGUUUGAAAUGGGGAUGCACAGAAACGCAGGUGGAGUAGGGAACCUCAGCCAUUGCUAAUCCAGCAUCGGAAGCAUCAGGGCGGCUUUUCUUCCCAUCUAAGUCAUUCAUUAAAAUCGUCUGCUCUUCCGGCACAGGGAACUGCUGAAUUCCCAAAGACUCUGAAUCCCUCCAAGGCAGGUCUCCUCUUCCUCACCUUUGCUCCCACCUUGGGGACCCAGCGCAGUGCCUGGCACACGGUGGCCACACCCUGGCGUGCCUGUCAUACAAUCAGGUUUCAUACCUGCUGUUGAAGCCAGUUGCCAUGCAUGUCACUGGGAACAGUUUUCCUUUAGGAUUUGUUGGAAUCAAACCAUCACCUCCAAGGCUCUCCCUUUGUAAUUUUGAAAAUUAUAAAUGAAAAUUCAAAAUUCCACACAAAAGCCCAGCAGUGUCUGAAAUACGUGUCCGUGUCACGGGUAGAAGUAUGACACCCACAAGGAAUGUUGAAGUCCUAACCCCCAGCACCUGUGAACGUGACCUUAUUUGGGAGCAGGGUCUUUUCAGAUAUAACCUAUUUAAGAUAGGGUCAUUAAGAUGGUCCCCAAUCCAAUAGACCUAGUGACCUUAUAACAGGGAAACUUGGACACAGACACACAGGGAGAACGCUGGGUGAUGACAGAGGCAGAGGCUGGAGUGAUGCAGCCAUAAGCCAAGAACACCAAGGAUUGAUGGCUACCACCAGAAGAUAGGAAGAGGCCAGGAAGAAAUCUACCCAGACUCUCAGAGGGAGCCUGGCCCCGCUGAUACUGGAUUUCAAACUUCUGGCCUCCUGAACUGUGAGAAUAACUGUCUGCUGUUCGAAGCCACCCACUUUGUGGUUAUCUGUUCCAACAGCCCUAGAAAACUGCUACAGUACCAGAAGCAAAAGGCAGUGCCUUUUUGGUUAAGUUUAGCAUUUAAUGUCCAAUUUUUAUAUUAGUGAUUGGUGUUUGGGGAGCAUCCGCUUUCUUAUGUUAGCCAUUUGCUCAUUCAUUUCGCAUUUACUGAGCAACUAAUGUGUGUCCGAUCCUGUGCAAGGUACCAGAGCAACAAAAGGCGGGGGGGGGGGGGGGGGGGGGUGGGGGGGGGAGGGG
Molecule: long non-coding RNA, 5656 nt
Organism: Equus quagga
Lineage: Eukaryota; Metazoa; Chordata; Mammalia; Perissodactyla; Equidae
Exons: 3
Source: RefSeq, a predicted model, not a curated record